AUGUCUGUGCAUCUGUGUGUAUGUCUCUGUGUGUGUGUGUCUCUCUGUGUGUGUGUGUGUCUAUGUGUAUGUCUGUGCCUCUGUGUGUGUGUCUGUGUGUGUUUAUGUCUGUGUGUGUAUCUGUGUCUCUGUAUGUGUCUCUGUGUGUGUCUGUGUCUGUCUGUGUGUGUGUCUGUGUCUGUGUGUGUCUGUGUGUGUGUGUGUGUGUGUCUCUG
Molecule: long non-coding RNA, 215 nt
Filed under: Homo sapiens (human)
Lineage: Eukaryota; Metazoa; Chordata; Mammalia; Primates; Hominidae
Description: HSALNT0378784
Source: RNAcentral